GGUUCAUGUCUCUGUUACUGUUCUGUACCCUUUAAAAUGUGUUGCUCAAUUUUUCAAAAUCCUAAAAAGUGGGAACUGAGGAAAAUUAUGUCCUCUUGUUCAUAGAAGAAAAUGUAUUUUCCAGGCAGUACGUUUUGGACUCAUGAAGUUUUGAAGUUUGCUCCUGGCAGUGUUUGGUAUUUAUUUCUGUGAAGUACAGACCAAUAGCAACAGGAGAGAGAUAUCAGAGCACCCUGCAAACUGGAGACCGUGGGCACUGUCCUAGGAAUUGUGAAAGCUGGAGCUGACUCUGUCAGAAUGAGAAGGUUCUAGAAUCUGACCCCCCCUCUGCCCAGGAAAUAGAAACACUUGGCCACUCUAUAAAUGAGACUUUACCAUGACUCUUCAGACCAUCUGUCAUUGGUGAAGAAAGUAUCUCGGUCAGUGAAUGGUUCUUCAUAGUGGUGUCAAGCAAAAGAAAAACCAAGCCUGUCAUUGUCAUCUGCAUGUAGAAAAUUACUGAGAGCACCUCUGUUAGAAUUUUAGUGUUUAAGAACUGUACAGGGCAUGGUAACUAUGAGAAUACUGCUCCACAAAAUCAAAUUGAAAAGGUAACCUUUGUUAAUUAGCAUAUUUGAAUAAAUGAUCUCGAAAGUA
This is a non-coding RNA of Taeniopygia guttata (zebra finch), 636 nucleotides long. Lineage: Eukaryota; Metazoa; Chordata; Aves; Passeriformes; Estrildidae. The record is from RefSeq and is a predicted model, not a curated record.